This 1029-nucleotide long non-coding RNA is filed under the name Papio anubis (olive baboon). RNAcentral's name for it is "lncRNA (ENSPANG00000049052.1)". Lineage: Eukaryota; Metazoa; Chordata; Mammalia; Primates; Cercopithecidae. The record is from RNAcentral.
AUGUCUGCUCUCAAGCACUCGCUCUCACACUCAUCUACCCACGCACCUACACACACUUCUGUACACUCACCUGCACACUCACCCACACAUGCUCCUGUAUACUCACUGCCACACACGAUCACAUGCGCUCCUGUAGACUCAACUGCAGACUCACCCACACACGCUCCUGUACACUCACUGGCACACACAAUCACAUGUGCUCUUGUACACUCACCUGCACACGCACCCACACAUGCUCCUGUAUACUCACCUGCACACUCACCCACACAUGGUCCUGUACACUCACCGGCACACACAAUCACAUGUGGUCUUGUACACUCACCUGCACAUGCACUCACAUGUGGUCCUGUACACUCACCUGUACACACACACUCCUGUACACUCACCUGUACAUGCACUCACAUGCACUCCUGUACACUCACCUGCACACACACUCCUGUACACUCAUCUGCAUGCACUCACAUGCGCUCUUGUACACUCACCUGCACACACUUGUACAUUCACCUGCAUGCCCUCACACACACUCCUGUACACUCACCUGCACACAUGCACACACAUUCUUGGACACUCACCGGCACACACACACAGGCUCCUGUACACUCACCUGCACACACACACAUGCUCCUGUACACUCACUGGAACACACAAUCACACGCACUGCUGUACACUCACCUGCACACACACACACUCCUGUACACUCACCUGCAUGCGCACACACGUGCUCCUGUACACUUACCUGCAUGCACACACACAUGCUCCUGUACACUCACCUGCACACACACACACUCCUGUACACAUGCACACACACACUCCUAUACACUCACCUGCAUGCACACACAUGCGCUCCUGUACACUCACCUGCACACACACUCACGCUCCUGUACACUCACCUGCACACACACUCACACACGCUCCUAUACACUCACCUGCACACACACACACGCUCCUGUACACUCACCUGCAUGCACACACACGCACUCCUGUACACUAUACUCAGUUGCACACACACACACGCUCCUGUGUGUAUGA